GGUGGCGUGUCCGAGCGGCCGAAGGUGCAUCACUCGAAAUGAUGUGUAGGUUCAUCCCUACCGUGGGUUCAAAUCCCACCGCCACCGCCA
This 90-nucleotide transfer RNA is filed under the name Aeromicrobium sp. RNAcentral describes it as "tRNA-Ser". It matches the Rfam family "tRNA". From Rfam's summary of the family: Transfer RNA (tRNA) molecules are approximately 80 nucleotides in length. Their secondary structure includes four short double-helical elements and three loops (D, anti-codon, and T loops). Lineage: Bacteria; Bacillati; Actinomycetota; Actinomycetes; Propionibacteriales; Nocardioidaceae. The record is from RNAcentral.